AAUCUCUUGUUUGUUAGAACAAAUCCUUGCAGAUUCGGGCUUCAACGUUCAUGACAUGUGCCGUGAGGCUAUAUAUAAAUUAUACACAUCAGCCGAUUGAUUAGCGUUUCCAGUGGAUGUGUGAGAGAGAGAAGAGAGAGAGAGAGGGCGAAAGGGAGCGUGUGAGAGAGAGAGACGAGGUAAUCCUCCCCUUGUACGAUAGGGUUUUUAGAGAGGGAGAGAGUGCAAAUGGCCAAAUUCCAAUGUGCAUGUGCUCUCUAGGCCUUGAACACAAAUAUUUGGAGGUACUCACAACCUUUCAUCUUGUUUUUUCGAUUUUCUUGCAAUUCGUUCUUUUUGGUCUGUAACUCGUUCACGGUUCUUUGUACUGACUUUGGGAUCUGUUUAUUUCACAUAUCCUCUAUCGAUUCCCAGAAACAUCAAGCCACUGUAAUUAC
RNAcentral lists this long non-coding RNA (437 nucleotides) under Actinidia chinensis (golden kiwifruit). Its description in RNAcentral is "long non-coding RNA (ACHI_LNC001444)". The record is from RNAcentral. Lineage: Eukaryota; Viridiplantae; Streptophyta; Magnoliopsida; Ericales; Actinidiaceae.